UUCACUCUCAGUCUGGGUAGGGACUGACUGCCCCACCUCCUCCAUAGAGGUCUCCUUGCACCCUGGAGGCUGGUGGGUCAGAUGAGGGCAGGAGGCCAGAUGUGCCCAAGGUCACCUCCCAGGUGGAUCAUUUCAGGUAUCCUUAUGGGGCUACGUGUGGCAGGAGACCUCCUGGGACUUCAGCCCUUUUCUCUUGGGAAGUGACCAGGAAGCCCUGGGGCGCACAGGCUGACCAAGCUAGAAGACCUAGUUUCUCCCCAAGUCCCUCCCCAGUCCCGACGCAAAAGGUCACCCUGCCAGCAUCGGGCCCAGCCAGGUUCACAGGGCCCCAGAGAUUAGAUCUCAAAAGGCCAGUAUCUGGGCACUGGAGAUGCCACCUCUACCUAGGAAGUAGGAACAGCCAUUAGAAGACAGAGGUGUAGUGAGGGGUUCUUUGGGGUUAGUAGGAGUUCUCCAGCUAGGUCCUUCAGCUCACUGACUUGCAGGGGGGCGGGGCACAGAACUCCAGUUGGUGUCACCUGGGUGGUGGGUAGUGAGCUCACAACCCUGGCUUUUCUGCCUGGCUCCCAUCUAGAGUUGGGCCUGGAGAGGACUAUGACCAGGCAGAGACCCAGGCCAGAGAGGAGAGGGAGUCAGGGAGGCACGGCUCCCCCGAAGAGGAAGCUGCCCUGGCAAGGCUGGAGCUGGGUCCCUUCAGCCCCUUGGCCCUUGGCCCCUCUGCAGCCCAGGAGGGGUGCUGGAAACCCAGGGCAUGGAGUCUCACCUUGAGUGCAAAGCCUGUGUCUUCAGGAGCUUCAGGGACACUGGUCAGAGCUGGGCUACCAAAGACAGGCCACAGCGCUCCAGCCUGCUCACCGCUUCCUGCCUUUGCCUCGGGCACCCCACCUCCCAAGCCUGUUUCUACACCUGUACAAUGGGCAUCAAAAUAAUACUGGAGGGCCAGGGAUUUAGCUCAGUGGUUCCACCACCUGCCUUGCAAGCACAAGGUCCCAAGUUUGAUCCCCGGUACCAAAAAAAAAUAAUAAUAAUACUGGAGCCUCAUGUGCUCUCGGGUUAUUGACCAGAGAGGUACUGUGAUCUGGCCAAGGACACACAGCAAUCAGAGCAGGCUAGGGUGACCCCUCCUUGGCACUGCCCGCUCUGUUUGAGGAAGCAGGGUGGGCCGGCCCCAUUACAAGGGUCCCUAUAAGAUGGUGUGAGGAGGAUUAAUAAUGUAUUUAUAACACAUCGUUGUGGUAGCUGAAAAUGAUCUAUAAAUGUGCGGUAAAUGUUUUAUAAUGUUUUUGUAACCCGUUAUAAAUGAUAAAUGGUAGACUAUAGAUGCCGGAUCAAAUAUUUAUAACGCAUUGUGCAUUGUACACUGCCUGCUACAGUUCAGGAAAGCCAUUAAUAAUAAAGUGG
This 1401-nucleotide long non-coding RNA is filed under the name Heterocephalus glaber (naked mole-rat). RNAcentral describes it as "lncRNA (ENSHGLG00100046604.1)". Lineage: Eukaryota; Metazoa; Chordata; Mammalia; Rodentia; Bathyergidae. The record is from RNAcentral.